GACGAACGCUGGCGGCGUGCUUAACACAUGCAAGUCGAACGGAAAGGCCCUGCUUUUGUGGGGUGCUCGAGUGGCGAACGGGUGAGUAACACGUGAGUAACCUGCCCUUGACUUUGGGAUAACUUCAGGAAACUGGGGCUAAUACCGGAUAGGAGCUCCUGCUGCAUGGUGGGGGUUGGAAAGUUUCGGCGGUUGGGGAUGGACUCGCGGCUUAUCAGCUUGUUGGUGGGGUAGUGGCUUACCAAGGCUUUGACGGGUAGCCGGCCUGAGAGGGUGACCGGCGACAUUGGGACUGUGAGACGGCCCAGAGUCCUACGGGAGGCAGCAGUGGGGAAUAUUGCACAAUGGGCGGAAGCCUGAGGCAGAAACGCCGCGUGCGGGAUGACGGCCUUCGGGUGGUAAACCGCUUUCGCCUGUGACGAAGCGUGAGUGACGGUAAUGGGUAAAGAAGCACCGGCUAACUACGUG
RNAcentral lists this ribosomal RNA (468 nucleotides) under uncultured bacterium. Its description in RNAcentral is "partial 16S ribosomal RNA". It matches the Rfam family "Bacterial small subunit ribosomal RNA", at positions 28 to 507 of the family's 1533-position model. The record is from RNAcentral.